CCUACGGGAGGCAGCAGUGGGGAAUUUUGCGCAAUGCUCGUAAGAGUGACGCAGCGACGCCGCGUGAAUGACGAAGGCCUUCGGGUCGUAAAGUUCUUUCGACAGGGAAGAAAAUGCCUAUAAGUAACUGUGUAUGUAUUGACGGUACCUGUAUAAGCAGCCCCGGCUAACUCCGUGCCAGCAGCCGCGGUAAUACGGAGGGGGCGAGCGUUGUUCGGAGUGACUGGGCGUAAAGAGCACGUAGGCGGUGUUGUAAGUCAUUAGUCAAAGACUAGAGCUCAACUUUAGUAAGGCUAGUGAUACUAUAAUACGAGAGUAUCAGAGCGGAGUGCAGAAUUCCUGGUGUAGCGGUGAAAUGCGUAGAUAUCAGGAGGAAUACCGUUAGCGAAGGCGGCAAUCUGGCUGGAAACUGACGCUGAGGUGCGAAAGCGUGGGUAGCAAACAGGAUUAGAUACCCUGGUAGUC
This 465-nucleotide ribosomal RNA is filed under the name uncultured bacterium. Its description in RNAcentral is "partial 16S ribosomal RNA". It matches the Rfam family "Bacterial small subunit ribosomal RNA", at positions 338 to 795 of the family's 1533-position model. The record is from RNAcentral.